UGAGGAAUAUUGGUCAAUGGGCGAGAGCCUGAACCAGCCACGUCGCGUGAAGGAAGACUGACCUUACGGUUUGUAAACUUCUUUUGUAGAGGGGUAAUGGCAGAUACGUGUAUUUGCGUGAAAGUACUCUACGAAUAAGCAUCGGCUAACUCCGUGCCAGCAGCCGCGGUAAUACGGGGGAUGCGAGCGUUAACCGGAAUUAUUGGGUUUAAAGGGUGCGCAGGUGGCUAAUCAGGUCAGUGGUGAAAAGCUAUGGCUCAACCAUGGUCUUGCCAUUGAAACCGUAUAGCUACGGAGGAGACGAGGUAGGCGGAAUGUGUGGUGUAGCGGUGAAAUGCAUAGAUAUCACACAGAACUCCGAUUGCGAAGGCAGCUUACCAGGCUUUAUCUGACACUUAGGCACGACAGCGUGGGGAUCAAACAGG
This 425-nucleotide ribosomal RNA is filed under the name Verrucomicrobiota bacterium. RNAcentral's name for it is "Verrucomicrobia bacterium partial 16S ribosomal RNA". It matches the Rfam family "Bacterial small subunit ribosomal RNA", at positions 355 to 776 of the family's 1533-position model. The record is from RNAcentral. Lineage: Bacteria; Pseudomonadati; Verrucomicrobiota.